AUAUCGCGAGGUGUCAGCAGCCGCGGUAAUACGUAGGGUGCGAGCGUUAAUCGGAAUUACUGGGCGUAAAGCGUGCGCAGGCGGUGAUGUAAGACAGUUGUGAAAUCCCCGGGCUCAACCUGGGAACUGCAUCUGUGACUGCAUCGCUGGAGUGCGGCAGAGGGGGAUGGAAUUCCGCGUGUAGCAGUGAAAUGCGUAGAUAUGCGGAGGAACACCGAUGGCGAAGGCAAUCCCCUGGGCCUGCACUGACGCUCAUGCACGAAAGCGUGGGGAGCAAACAGGAUUAGAUACCCUGGUAGUCCACGCCCUAAACGAUGUCAACUGGUUGUUGGGUCUUAACUGACUCAGUAACGAAGCUAACGCGUGAAGUUGACCGCCUGGGGAGUACGGCCGCAAGACCGAAACUCAAAUGAAUUGGC
Molecule: ribosomal RNA, 419 nt
Filed under: uncultured bacterium
Lineage: Bacteria
Description: bacterial SSU rRNA
Rfam family: Bacterial small subunit ribosomal RNA
Source: RNAcentral